UCCCUCACGCGGCGUUCGCAUGCAUCAGAGCUUUCGCCCACUUGUGCAAUAUUCCCCACUGCCUGCCUCCCGUAGGAGUCUGGGCCGUGUUCUCAGUCCCAGUGUGGCCGGUCGCCCUCUCAGGCCGGCUACCCGUCGUCGCCUUGGUGAGCCACUACCUCACCAACAAGCUGAUAGGCCGCGGGCUCAUCCUGCACCGCCGGAGCUUUACACCAUCCACCAUGCGGCAGACGGUCAUAUCCGGUAUUAGACCCCGUUUCCAGGGCUUGUCCCAGAGUGCAGGGCAGAUUGCCCACGUGUUACUCACCCGUUCGCCACUAAUCCCCGCCCGAAAGCGGUUCAUCGUUCGACUUGCAUGUGUUAAGCACGCCGCCAGCGUUCGUCCUGAGCCAGGAUCAAACU
This 402-nucleotide ribosomal RNA is filed under the name Streptomyces sp. 7LA2. Its description in RNAcentral is "partial 16S ribosomal RNA". The record is from RNAcentral. Lineage: Bacteria; Bacillati; Actinomycetota; Actinomycetes; Kitasatosporales; Streptomycetaceae.